ACAGCAUUCCUUAUGUGGUUCACGCUGGAGUUGGAAUAACUGCGGACUGUGGCCCUUUCCAGCACAUCAUUUUGACCUCUUACUUCUACACUGAAUCCUCUAAGCUCUGUAUUUUUGGACAGUUGCUACCUUGGAAAGAUUUCAUGAGCAACUCUUCCCUGUCCUCUUUGUCUUCCUAUGGGUUCUUGGCUGCUGAGUCCUAGGGACAGUCACAACCAUUGCCCUGCCUAACCCAAUGUCAAGGAAUGCCUUAGGAUGGUAAAACCUAGUAAGUGCUCUCCCUCCUUCCCUUGCUCUCUCUCUCUCUCUCUCUCUCUCUCUCUCUCUCUCUCUCUCUCUCUCUCUCACACACACACACACACACACACACACAGCCUAUCUGUUUCUUUCUCCCUUUCUCUCCCUCUCCAAUAUUUGUUUUAUUAUUUAAAAAUAAACAUAUAUAAAUAUAAAACAAAACCAGUUUACUUCUAAACUCUAGACAUGCCAAGCUCAAAUUAACGUACCAUUCAGUAUACAUUGGAUACAAGCUAGUAACACUAUGACCUGUGUGCUUAAUGUAUAUGUAUUUUUUCCACUUUAAAAAGUUGAGCAAUAUUACCACUUAAAGCACAUUUAUUAUAACAAUAAUAUUCAAUGAAUUAAAACUAACUUGACCCUCAACCAAGCCCCACCAAUGUUAGCAUGCCUUGGCAUUGGGUAUUGUUCCUUUGUGCUCUUCUGGCUUAUGCUUUUGAGACAGGGUCUUGAUCUGGAGCUGGUCACCAUCUGAUGAACCAGUUCCUCAGCUCCUUUCCGUUGGCAUCACCAACAAGGGCCACUUGCUCACCUUGCUUUUAAUACUCAUUGUCAUAAGAAAUGUCUUGUCAAACUUCUAGUCAAAUCUCAGUCUGCAAGCGUGUGCAUUUUGGUUCCUAGAAUUAACAUAUCUGUUUUGCACAUUUUUUCUCUUUUUUUUUCUUUUUUCUUUUUUUCGGAGCUGGGGACCGAACCCAGGGCCUUGCACUUGCUAGGCAAGCGCUCUACCACUGAGCUAAAUCCCCAACCCCUGUUUUGCACAUUUUUAUGACAUAUUAUCAUGCAAAUAUAUAGAUUAUGUUUUCCCUUUCCCCAACUCCUCCCAGAUCCUCCCCUUGUCCCAGUCACCCAAGUUCAUAAUUUUUUUCUGUCUAUCUCACUCUCUGUCUGAGAAACAACAAAAUAUAACACCCCAAGAAAAGUAACUAAGGUAAAUAAAAAAAAAACCCGAUCACGUAAAAACAAAUAAACAAAAAAGCCAACAUAAAACAAUGCAAGGCUUGUUUAAUGCAGGCUUACCUUUCUUCCCCAAAUUUAUGGAGUUUAUUUUGUGGAGAUACAACCCAUCUUGGGUAUGAGGCUAUGUGAGUGCCUUUAAGUGUGUGACAGUUUGCUUCUUACCUAGCUAGUUCUCAAAUAACUCAGACUGGACUAUGUUAAUUAUUUAACAUUCUUUAAGGGCAGAAUUACUGAGCAAUAUUACUCUAUUUCAUCCUCUAAACUAAUCUGCCAAUUCCCAGCCUAAGUUGGUGAGAUGAUUGUGGUUUUAGGAUUUCUCUGUCCAGGUGUUUUCUUGUGGUGUCUCCUAGACUCUCUGUAGGACGCUAAUCCUCAUUUCUUCUUCCCCAGCUCCCUUCCCUGGCUGGGAGAAGUCCAGCAAUGUGCUCUCCCUGCUCAGUCAUUGGUUGUUAAGGUUUCUUUAUUGAAACUUCAGGGAACAAUUGGAAAGGUGGUGUUUACACAAGAUUGCACUGGGAUAUAAUCUGAGUAAGGAUUGUAACCACAUAUAGUGAACACAGACAUCGGCAUUUGAAUCUUCACACAGUGCACAAUAAAAAGUCUAUAAGGCACCAUUGACCCUACAGUACAGAAGCCUGUUCUUUCCUUAGACAGCAGGUAUCAAUUACAAAUAGCUCCUUGCUUAGAGGUUAGACCAUGUGUCAUCUUCCUCGUCAGUGCUGGUCACUGUCUCCUUAAGCCUGUCACAGUGUCUGUGAGUUCAUAUGAGCCGUAGUCCUGUGUGUCUGGAAGUCUCCUUGGAGUCAUCCAUCAUGUGUGGCUCUUAAUGUUUCUGCCUCCUCAUCCUCAUAGGUCUCUGAGCCUCUAGGGGAGGGCCGUGAUGAAGACAUCUCUUUUAGGACUGAGUGUGCCAGAGUCUUUCACUCUCUGAUCAUUGGGCACUUGUGUGUCUCUGUGUCAGUUCUUGUCUAUGGCAAGACACAGAUUUCCUGAUGUAUUUGAUGUUGUUAGUAAUAUGCAUCAAGGGUCUUGUUACUAUGUGUUCUCUUCUCAGAAUAAUAAUGUUCAUUUUUCUGAUCAUCCCAUAUGACAUUUCUAUUCUCAGGUUCAUGGCCACGUUAGUAGUGUCAUUAUGGGUUCCAUCUCAGAGAGCAGACUUUAAAUCCAAUGAACAGUGUUUAGUUACCCCAUGACAUUGGUGCCUAUAUUGCACCGUAUAUCUUAAGGGCAGGUCAGUGUGGUAGACCACAGGGCUUGUGGUUGGGUAACAGUAAUGACUGCCUUUGUCCUCUGGGAGUGUACAGAGUAUCUGCUCGCACCUUGAAUGUUAAUCUGUAGCAGUGAAUCUUUUAGUUGGACAUUAGCUGCGUUCUCUUAGUUGGAUUACAUUAGACACUAUAGUCUUCAGCUAUCGUCUUAGUUAGGGUUUGACUGCUAUGAAUAGACACCAUGACCAAGGCAACUCUUAGACAGCAUUUAAUUGGAGCUGGCUUUCAGGUUCAGACAUCCAGUCCAUUAUCAAUGUGGGCACAUGACAGUACCCAGGCAGGCAUUACAUAGUCUGAGCAGGGGUUCUACAUCUUGUUCUAAAGGUAAGCAAAAGAAGACUGGCUUCCAGGAAGCUAGGAUGAGGAUCUUAAGUCCUAUGCCCACAGUGACACUGUUCCUCCAACAAGGCCACAGCCACUUUAUCCAGGCCACACCUAUUCUGAUACUGUGACACUCUGGGUCAAUUAUAUCAAAGCAGCAUAUUCAACUCCAUGGCCUCCAUAGACUUGUGCAUUCACAUGAGUCUAUGCAGACCAUACCUAAACAUAGCAUGAUGCAAAAUACAUUCAAUGCAACUGAAAAAGUCCCCAUAGUCUAUAACAGUCUCAAUACUGUUAAAAACCCAAAGUUCACAGUGUCUUCUGAGAUUCAUGCUGUCCCUUAAUUCUAAUCCUCAAAGCUACACAGGAAAACAGCUGGGUAAAAUCCAAUAUCUGCAUCUCCAUGUUUGAUAUCAAAGCCAUCUUUAGAUCUCCAACUCCUUCUUCAUUGUUUUUACUGCAACAAACCUCUUUCUCAUGGGCUGGUUCCACUCACUCUUCGGAGCUUUUGUUCAUGAGACAUUCCAUGAUUCUGGUGUUUUGAACAUCUGGGAGUCUUCAAGGCAUAGCUUCAGUAUCAUAGCUUCCUGUUCCAACGUUUCUUACCCAUGUAUGAGCUUCUGGGAUCCUCUGAGGGGCCUGGUUCACAUCUGCAGCUCUGCCCUCUGUAGAACUCUAGGCUUAUGUUGGUUGACUCUAUUCCACUGCUGCUGCUGUUGGUGGUAUUCUUCCUAUGAUACUGACAUUUCUACUACACUGGGAUCUUCUGUUGUAACUAGGCUUCACCAAUAGCCUCUGGUAGGCUCUCUUCAUGAUGCCAAACCUGGAAUUCAUUGCACGACCCCUUCAGUCCUGGGCCAUCAACUGCAAUUGAGACUUUAUCUUUACCAAUGGUCUUCCUUGAUCUCUCACAGUGCCAAGCCUCAGCUGCUCUUCAUGGACUCUUCAUGCCUUCAAAACCAGUACCAACCACCUGGGUGAUUCUUACACAUUAUUAAAUCCAGCUACUGAGGGAGGUAAAGCCUUGGCUAUCUAUAGAACAUACUUUCUUUGUGCUAUCAGAAAAUACUUCCCAGAAGAUUUCACUUCAGUGAUGCUGGUCUCUUCUUAAUCACCAUUAAUUUCUUGGCUUAAGCUGACCGUAGUUUCUUCUAUUCUUGACUCUAAGCCCAGAGCCAGAUGGCCAAAGCUGCUGAGUUCUGCUGCUUGCUGGGCCUGAAACAUGGUCCUCUUAUUCUCUUAUCAGCUUUCUGUUUUCCAACUCCUUCAUUGACUAACCUUGGCUGUCCUGGAUGCUGGGAUUAAAGGUUUGUACAGAUUCACCUGGAUUUAAGCUUUUCUUCACCUAGAACUUACUCAGUUCCAGGGUGGCCUUGAACUCAGAGAUCUGCUUGACUCAGUCUUCUGGGACUAAAGGCAUGUACUACUUUGACUAGGCCUAAGUUUUUCAUUGACAACUGUUCUGCAAUAUCCAGAUCAAAAGCCUGUGUCUUUCAUUUCUGAAUUGUAGUUCACUCCAGAUUAAAAUCCAAGAUAAAGCAUAACCAGGGUAUGAUAACACGUAAUAUGAUAUAACCCUUCCUUGUUCAAUGGCAAAACCAUAAACAGUAAGCUUAGCUGGGUGGGAUCUUGCAAAAAAGUUCCCACUUCUGUGAUGGUUUGCAUAUGCUAGGCCCAGGGAGUGGUGCUAUUAGAAGGUGUGAACUUGUUGGAGGUCAGCCUAAAACAGAGCAAGUUCUAGGUGAAGAAAACUUAAAUACAGGUGUGGUGGUACACACAUUUAAUCCCAGGAGACAAGCAUACAGAUUUCUAAAUUCAAGAUCAAUCUAUAGAGCAAGAUCCAGGACAACAAAGCUUAAGCAGUGAAGGAGUUAGAAAGCUAGUGCUAAA
Non-coding RNA from Rattus norvegicus (Norway rat), 4736 nucleotides. The record is from RefSeq and is a predicted model, not a curated record. NCBI's taxonomy places the organism in Eukaryota, Metazoa, Chordata, Mammalia, Rodentia, Muridae.